UGGGGAAUAUUGGACAAUGGGGGGAACCCUGAUCCAGCCAUGCCGCGUGUGUGAAGAAGGCCUUAUGGUUGUAAAGCACUUUAAGCGAGGAGGAGGGUACUGGUAUUAAUACUACCAGCUACUGGACGUUACUCGCAGAAUAAGCACCGGCUAACUCUGUGCCAGCAGCCGCGGUAAUACAGAGGGUGCGAGCGUUAAUCGGAUUUACUGGGCGUAAAGCGUGCGUAGGCGGCUAAUUGAGUCGGAUGUGAAAUCCCCGAGCUUAACUUGGGAAUUACAUUCGAUACUGGUUAGCUAGAGUGUGGGAGAGGAUGGUAGAAUUCCAGGUGUAGCGGUGAAAUGCGUAGAGAUCUGGAGGAAUACCGAUGGCGAAGGCAGCCAUCUGGCCUAACACUGACGCUGAGGUACGAAAGCAUGGGGAGCAAACAGG
Molecule: ribosomal RNA, 430 nt
Filed under: Pseudomonadota bacterium
Lineage: Bacteria; Pseudomonadati; Pseudomonadota
Description: Proteobacteria bacterium partial 16S ribosomal RNA
Rfam family: Bacterial small subunit ribosomal RNA
Source: RNAcentral